RNAcentral lists this long non-coding RNA (1338 nucleotides) under Neogale vison (American mink). RNAcentral's name for it is "Neovison vison (American mink) lncRNA (ENSNVIG00000001627.1)". The record is from RNAcentral. Lineage: Eukaryota; Metazoa; Chordata; Mammalia; Carnivora; Mustelidae.
CCUCACCGAAUGGGGAAUGCAGAAGAGUGUGACCCUCUAGCAAGAAAAGAACUGAGCCUCCAAAAGAAAUAACUUUGUUGGGGCCACGGGAACACUUGUGGCAGAGGUCAGCGAGGAACAUAAGCGUGAGCACAGGGUGUGCUCUUGAGUACAGCGAGGAGGAGGUCUUAUGCCUGCUAGAGAUCUGUGACUCGUUAUCCUUCUGGGCAAAGAGACAUUUUCUCCAUGGUCCGUCUGAGUCCACAGUGCCUCUCUUCAGGGCCGAGGUGUGGAAGCUUGGCCCCUGUAGGGACAUUGGAAGCGGAGGGCCUGAACCUACUGUCCUCAGGCAACAGGGUUGGGAAGCGCCAGAGGUCUGUCUGCCUGGUUCCUGGAGAGCCAGACCCAGAAGCUGUGCUCUUGAGCAAGAUGAGAAGCAAUUUCACACUACGAGGAGGUGCCUGGUCUGGGUCCUUCUGGGCAGGUCGUUCCCUUGUCCACGGUCAGUCUGAGGCCACUGCAGUAUGCGGCACUACUGCUUUGUGGUCGCUUCAGGCCCUGUCUCCUCUCCUGUGGGAAGGGAAAGGACAUCCGCCCCUACUGCCUUUGGUGAGACGCAUUGUGAGUGAAGGUCUGGUGGGUCAAACAUCUGCCCGCAUGCCGGUGUUCAACCGGGUGUUGAAGGCAGCGGUUCCUCUGCAUGAGCAUCUGGCCAGAAACGGCCAAGGCCAAGCGCCGAAGUUGGGGAAUUGCCCCACUCCCACGUUGUGAAGUGAGGUGACGGAUGGUGACGGUCGUGCCCAAGGACCCGGCCAGCAGCGCUUCCGCGGGCGUUCGCUCUUCACUCAGCAAAGUGAUGUCCAGGAGCUGUGGUGCAGCAAGAUGCGGGCGAGACUCUUUGCAGGCAGGUGCGUCCCUGUCAUGCAUUUUCCCAAGCUCAGGAGGGAAGGAGGAAAGAUACUUUGCCUUUGCGUGGAGCCACGUUUGAGAGGCCUCAGGGCCUUUGCCCACCUCAGGGCCAGCCCAGCAGGAAGUUCACAGGGGACACAGGGAGUGGUCCUCCAACCUCUGAAAAGAAAGAGGCUCUCUGGGAAAGCCUGUUGUCUCAAGAUGGCUCUGGGUGAUGCCUGCUCCAAGGACACACUGGAGAUGAUCCCUGAUUGACAGCUUCUCUGAGGAUGUGGAGGUGCUCACUCUCGCCCCCCUGAGGAAGCUGUAGGAACUCACCGGUGUGGCAGUUUCUACCACAUCCCGCCACCCCACCCCCCAGCACCCUUUAGGCUCCCAGGAUUGGCUGCUCCAGAGGUGCAGAAGAUGUCCUGGCCAAAGAGGAUCUUCUUCGGGGUCACCGCAUCCUAG